UGCAAUUCAGUGGGUGAGCGGGAG
RNAcentral lists this non-coding RNA (24 nucleotides) under Rattus norvegicus (Norway rat). The record is from RNAcentral. Lineage: Eukaryota; Metazoa; Chordata; Mammalia; Rodentia; Muridae.